RNAcentral lists this small RNA (27 nucleotides) under Bombyx mori (domestic silkworm). RNAcentral describes it as "piRNA piR-bmo-2227440". Lineage: Eukaryota; Metazoa; Arthropoda; Insecta; Lepidoptera; Bombycidae. The record is from RNAcentral.
UGACACCGUUGUUUCUCGGCCAUCUGG